Molecule: long non-coding RNA, 1682 nt
Filed under: Homo sapiens (human)
Lineage: Eukaryota; Metazoa; Chordata; Mammalia; Primates; Hominidae
Description: HSALNT0354364
Source: RNAcentral
CCCAACUGCUGAGUAAACAGGGCUUUAUAAUCUCUCCUCCCAUGGGCUGGUUUACUAAAUAGAUCAAUAUUUGGUUUGUAGGCACAGAGAUUAGGAGGUGGAAAUGUCUUUUGAAAAAGCCCAAUCUCUUCCCAGGGCCCUGAGUGCACCUGAGAAUGCUGAAAAGAAAAGCCAAGUUCACGGACAAAAAAAGAAUCACCCAAGCUGCUUUCACCUGCCUGCGAUUUCCCAGGAAGCCAGUUUGUCUUUAAGAAGUGAGACCCAUUUGAGAAUGAGUAAUGUCUUAGGCUCUUUAGUCUAAUGCUUAGAGAAUUCCACUUUCUUCUUUCGCUCGGCCUCCCCCUGAGCUCCCCUUUCUCUGUCCCCAACUCCAUUUUAUUUAAUCUUUCUAAAUGGAUAUUGUAGCCUCAGGGACUAAAAGAAUGACACAUGGAUAAACAGGAACUAAGCUCCUAAGCUUUUCCCCUACCUGCCAUCUUCCUCACCACGCAUGAGGAUUAGAAGCAUCACAAAGAAAGCAGUCUCGGAAGUUUGUCAAAUAGAGAUUUCUGGGUGAUGGUUUGGGAAAGGAUGAUUUAGAUCGUGCCUCUCCUGGGUCGGGAAAGUGACUGAAACACAUAACAGCAGAGAACUUGAAGUGCUGGUUUGAGCUUCAGGAGAUGUGAGUUCUAGCCCCAGUGCUGCCUGUGAUUUUCUCUGUGACCUGGGACAAGUCCCUUGUGGAUACGACAGGAUAUGCGGGCUACAGGGAUCUCUGAGGCUUCUCCCAGGUAGGCAAAGUGGAGUGUCAGACUAAGCUGGGCUCAAAAGUUUGUCCUGACACUAGUUAACAGCAAAGUCUUCAAAUCACAGGCAACUCUUAAGAGUUGCACUUGCUUCGCUGUAAAAAACGGGAGAAUUAAUGAAUCACUGUGAAGACUAAAUGAGAUAAUGGAUGGGGCACACCUCACUGGGUGUGUGAUACUUGUUGUCAUGCAACAUCAUAGUACUUUGCUGAUUCAGUCAUUUCACAGAGUAAUUAGCGUCUGUCUCUGAAAAAUAAAAUACUGCAAUUGGCUGCCGUCUCUAGGACUUUGUGACUUCCUUUGGACAGGUGGUUGCAAAAAGCCUACACCUUUAAAAGUGCCCCCUGAAAGUUAAUGAAUCACUGUGAAGACUAAAUGAGAUAAUGGAUGUGACACAACUCUCUGGGUACCCAGAAUGGAGGAGAUGGUAGGCCAUGGCAGAUGGUAGGGGAGAAGCUGGCUUCAGACAAUCUACAGAAACCCAGUUUCCUGAUUUUUCUGUGCAAGGAAUAGCACAGGCAUCUGAUAAUUCCACUAUUCUCUCUGGCUGGUGGCCUUCUCUUUGAAAGACUGCAUGGUUUCAGUUCAGUUUCAUAUAGAUCUGUGUGUAGAUCUGUACAGUGAUAACAUUCCUUUGUGCUAAGUCAGUCCAAGAUAACUAACCUGUUUCCAAGAUCUAAUUUUGUAUGUGGGAAUCUUGCCUUGCCCUGAUUUCCAGACCCAUAGGCAGGCUUGCAGGCUGUAGCUGGGGAAGACCCCACGCUUAUUCUGGUGCCCUGAGCAAGACCUCCUGCUCCACUAUUAGGCAGAAGCACCUGUUCUGCCACAGGAGGUGCUGUCUUUUGCUGGCAGAGCUCAGUUUCCCUUAAGGGGAAGUUCCUUAGGAUUUAAGGCCUC